This 256-nucleotide ribosomal RNA is filed under the name uncultured bacterium. Its description in RNAcentral is "partial 16S ribosomal RNA". It matches the Rfam family "Bacterial small subunit ribosomal RNA", at positions 524 to 776 of the family's 1533-position model. The record is from RNAcentral.
UACGUAGGGGGCAAGCGUUGUCCGGAAUCAUUGGGCGUAAAGCGCGUGUAGGCGGCUGAGUAAGUCUGCUCUGAAAGCCCGGGGCUCAACCCCCGGGAGGCGGGUGGAUACUGCUCAGCUCGAGUCCGGAAGAGGAGUGUGGAAUUCCUGGUGUAGCGGUGAAAUGCGCAGAUAUCAGGAGGAACACCAAUGGCGAAGGCAGCACUCUGGGACGGUACUGACGCUGAGACGCGAAAGCCGUGGGGGAGCAAACAGG